UAGAGUUUGAUCAUGGCUCAGGAUGAACGCUAGCUACAGGCUUAACACAUGCAAGUCGUGGGGCAGCACGGCGGAAGCUUGCUUCUGCUGGUGGCGACCGGCGCACGGGUGAGUAACGCGUAUCCAACCUGCCUUUCACACGGGGAUAACCUUCCGAAAGGGAGCCUAAUAUCCGAUAUGGUCAUACGACGGCAUCAGAAUAUGACGAAAGCCUUCGGGCGGUGAGAGAUGGGGAUGCGUCCGAUUAGCCAGACGGCGGGGCAACGGCCCACCGUGGCGACGAUCGGUAGGGGUUCUGAGAGGAAGGUCCCCCACAUUGGAACUGAGACACGGUCCAAACUCCUACGGGAGGCAGCAGUGAGGAAUAUUGGUCAAUGGGCGGGAGCCUGAACCAGCCAAGUAGCGUGCAGGAAGACGGCCCUAUGGGUUGUAAACUGCUUUUAUGCGGGGAUAAAGUGUGUCACGUGUGGCAUAUUGCAGGUACCGCAUGAAUAAGGACCGGCUAAUUCCGUGCCAGCAGCCGCGGUAAUACGGAAGGUCCGGGCGUUAUCCGGAUUUAUUGGGUUUAAAGGGAGCGCAGGCGGCUUGACAAGCGUGCCGUGAAAACCCGCCGCCCAACGGCGGGCUUGCGGCGCGAACUGUCUGGCUUGAGUGCGUGCAACGUAGGCGGAAUUCGUGGUGUAGCGGUGAAAUGCUUAGAUAUCACGAAGAACCCCGAUUGCGAAGGCAGCCUACGGGCGCGCCACUGACGCUGAGGCUCGAAGGUGCGGGUAUCGAACAGGAUUAGAUACCCUGGUAGUCCGCACGGUAAACGAUGGACGCCCGCUAUGUGGGAUAUAAUUCUGCGUGGCCAAGCGAAAGCGUUAAGCGUCCCACCUGGGGAGUACGCCGGCAACGGUGAAACUCAAAGGAAUUGACGGGGGCCCGCACAAGCGGAGGAACAUGUGGUUUAAUUCGAUGAUACGCGAGGAACCUUACCCGGGCUUGAAUUGCAGAGGAAAGAUCCAGAGAUGGUGAUGCCCUUCGGGGUCUCUGUGAAGGUGCUGCAUGGUUGUCGUCAGCUCGUGCCGUGAGGUGUUGGCUCAAGUGCCAUAACGAGCACAACCCCUGUUGCCGGUUGCCAUCACGUAGAGGUGGGCACUCCGGUGAGACUGCCGCCGCAAGGUGUGAGGAAGGUGGGGAUGACGUCAAAUCAGCACGGCCCUUACGUCCGGGGCUACACACGUGUUACAAUGGGGGGCACAGAGCGCUGGUCGUGCGCGAGCACGUCCGAAUCGCGAAAUCCCUCCUCAGUUCGGACUGGGGUCUGCAACCCGACCCCACGAAGCUGGAUUCGCUAGUAAUCGCGCAUCAGCCAUGGCGCGGUGAAUACGUUCCCGGGCCUUGUACACACCGCCCGUCAAGCCAUGAAAGCCGGGGGCGCCUGAAGUCCGUGACCGCGAGGGUCGGCCUAGGGCGAAACCGGUGAUUGGGGCUAAGUCGUAACAAGGUAACC
RNAcentral lists this ribosomal RNA (1495 nucleotides) under uncultured bacterium. RNAcentral describes it as "16S ribosomal RNA". It matches the Rfam family "Bacterial small subunit ribosomal RNA". The record is from RNAcentral.